Molecule: ribosomal RNA, 198 nt
Filed under: Triticum aestivum (bread wheat)
Lineage: Eukaryota; Viridiplantae; Streptophyta; Magnoliopsida; Poales; Poaceae
Description: partial small subunit ribosomal RNA
Source: RNAcentral
AUGUGCUUGAGAAUGCUGUUGGGAACAUCCUUGACAAUGUGCCACUUGACAGAGAAUGAAUUUCACUUGUCUUGUUGCCAGUACUCUACAGUUUUUUCAAAAUCAACAGGACCAGUCAUUUCAGCAACACCAACAAACUGUCCACUUGUAUUCACUGAGAAAAACAAGAAUAUAGGGCAGCUAGAGCCCUUUGCCUGA